Small nuclear RNA from Monodelphis domestica (gray short-tailed opossum), 107 nucleotides. The record is from RefSeq and is a predicted model, not a curated record. NCBI's taxonomy places the organism in Eukaryota, Metazoa, Chordata, Mammalia, Didelphimorphia, Didelphidae.
GUGCUUGUUUUGACAGCACAUAUACUAGAAUUGGAAUGAUACAGAGAAGAUUAGCAUGGCCCCUGCACAAUGAUGACAUGCAAAUUCAUGAAGUUUUCUAUAUUUUU